This is an RNA transcript of Mytilus californianus (California mussel), 2445 nucleotides long. RefSeq lists it as uncharacterized. Lineage: Eukaryota; Metazoa; Mollusca; Bivalvia; Mytilida; Mytilidae. The record is from RefSeq and is a predicted model, not a curated record. The transcript is spliced from 12 exons.
AACAUGCUAUAAAUGUUUAUUACGAGGAAGUAAAUAACAGGGUAUUUGUUUUCAAAUCUUAAAAUUCAUUUCAUUCUAAUGGUUCAGAUAUACAAUGAUGUUACACGCAUAUCUUGGAACUGUAACCUUCGUCCUUAUGCUUGCAACUAAAGAAAUUUGUCUUUGCAACAUUCAAACAUGUUUCACAUGGAAAAUAUCGAAAAACAGAUUGACUUUAACCUGCAAGGUAGAUGAUCUACACCUAUCCGUUUUUAUUGAUGAUCCAUUUGGAAAAGUACAAGCUGACUGUGUACAACCUCACCCGUUCGUUAAAUGUGAACCCUAUUACAAAAAUGGAAGUAUAACACAGAACAGUACAACAAAAGAAACUAUAUUUACCGUGCAAGGUAAAAUCGACAAAUCAAUCAAUGGAAAUUGGACCUGUCGUCAUGGCACACACAGAGACAUUGCCAAAGUUGAAGUAACAGUAUUGAAUACAUUAGGUGGAAUUGGAAGUGGAUUAAACAAGGAAAACAUACGAUAUGAUAACAAUACAGUUUCCUUGAAAGACUCGACUGAUAACCAAUGCGUGUAUAAAGUACUGUUAUUUUCAAUGAUUGCCUAUUUUGGAACUAUGUUGGUUUGGGUAAUCUUGUGGUGUAAAACAGGGGAGUAUAUAAAGCCUUUGGUUGAUGAUAUCUGGCAAAAUUGCAUGUGCAUCAACUCUAUUCCAGGUUUGAAGACUGUGAGUUUUAUAACAUGUUCCUGUCUAUUUCUCGGAAUAUGCACAUUAUGUGGGUAUUUCGAUGAUGCUACGUGUAUAUUCCGGAUAGUGUUACCAAUAAUUGGAAUAGUGUUUGCAAGCCUUAGUACACCUUUGUUUCUUAAUCUUGCAGUUGAACAAAGAAUAGUGACAGUGAACUCAGAAAACGCCCCAGGCCAACAAGCAAAUGGCCAUGAUGACCAUGCUUUAGAUCCAAUGAUCGAUCCAAUUGACAUUUGAAAUGGUAAAUACACGUGAAAAGGAUCAACUAAGUGAGGAAUUAUCAAGAUAUCAAGUACAGGAAAAAUGUUGCGUGGAGUUAUCAAGAUUUAGAUAUGAGUAUUUUUGCAUUUUGGACGGAAGUGAGUGUCAAAAGAGUAUUUGAAAUAUGGUUCCAUUAACCAUAUAAACUUCGAGUCAAUGUACUAGCAUUACUACGUGUGUUUAAUGGGCUAGCUACAUACUGUCAUCAGUAAACAAUUGGCAGGCAUUCGAGUAACAUGAAAUUGUUGUCAAUAUUCUAAUGCAUAUACUGUGGAUUCAUUUAUUUUCGUGGGUACCAAUUUUCGUGGAUUAAGGAAAACUUACAUGUUCGUGGAUAUCUAAUUUCGUGGUUUUUGACAAUGUCUGCAUACAAGCCUAUAGUAAAUUUGCCAUUCGUUGAACAUAUAAUUUCGUGGUUAACCUAUAACCACGAAAUCCACGAAAAUUGGUAUCCAACGAAUAAUAAUGAAUCCACAGUAGGUAUACUUCCAUGGUUUUUAUCAUAUACAUACUGUAAAUAUCCCAAUAAACCUUUUGGGAAUAGUUAUAUAUAUAUUUUCAUAUUUUGACAUCAGCUAAUUUUUUCUGCAUCCCAUCGAUAUGGUUCUUAUGGUAGUAUGAGCGUAUCAACGGAAAAUUAUUUUCAGUAAUCUUUUCAUAUUUUGCCAAAACAUAGUAUAUAUUAUGAUAUUUUCAAAAUUAAAUAAAGAUGAUAGGCCACCGAGCUUGUUUUGAAGCCACAUGUUGUAAAAUAAUGAAACAUCGUGUAUGGAUUAUAUAGAAGAAAAAAUGCAUCAUUCUUGGAAUAGAAGGUAAACUAAAUGAUAGAAUUUUGUAAUAAAGUAUGAGAAGAGAGCUCAUAUAAGAUGCUUUCAGAAUAUCAAAAGUGAAAAUGGGGUCAAUGUACGGUUUUUCCUGCUAUAACAUUAAAUUGAAAAAUGUCCCGUAAAUUCCUGUAUAAAUAUUACAAGUUCUAAAUUACUUCCUCGCAAUACACUAAGUGAGAAAAAAAAUGAAAUCAAUCAAAAAUAUUCUACCUUUGUAACAAUAUUAGUAAUUGUAAAAAAUGCUUAAUUUUGUUCCUUCAAAUGAAAAUUUGUUUGAUAAAUUGCAUUCCUACAUCAAAAUGUGGUGACUUGAUUUAAGAUAAAGGCUUCUAUUUUACAAUCCAAGAUGAUGAAAGACUGUCAAACAAACUUAACUCUAUAUUUCGAUUACAUAAAGUAGGGAUGUCAACUUAAACUAAAUAACAGUCUUAUAGAACCAAUUGUAAGCCAUCUCAAAUGGCUAAAUAUAAAAAUUGAUAUCCUUUAGAAGUUUCAAUAUUUAUCGAACAUUUCACUUGUGCUAAAUUGUGUUAUAUUUAUGUAUGUAUGUAAGGAUAGAUGUGUGUAUGUAUGUAUGGAUGGAUGGAUGGAAUGAGGGAUGAUUGGGAUGGA